RNAcentral lists this ribosomal RNA (497 nucleotides) under uncultured bacterium. Its description in RNAcentral is "partial 16S ribosomal RNA". It matches the Rfam family "Bacterial small subunit ribosomal RNA", at positions 28 to 507 of the family's 1533-position model. The record is from RNAcentral.
GAUGAACGCUGGCGGCGUGCCUAAUACAUGCAAGUCGAGCGAACAGAUGAGGAGCUUGCUCCUCUGACGUUAGCGGCGGACGGGUGAGUAACACGUGGAUAACCUACCUAUAAGACUGGGAUAACUUCGGGAAACCGGAGCUAAUACCGGAUAAUAUAUUGAACCGCAUGGUUCAAUAGUGAAAGACGGUUUUGCUGUCACUUAUAGAUGGAUCCGCGCCGCAUUAGCUAGUUGGUAAGGUAACGGCUUACCAAGGCAACGAUGCGUAGCCGACCUGAGAGGCUGAUCGGCCACACUGGAACUGAGACACGGUCCAGACUCCUACGGGAGGCAGCAGUAGGGAAUCUUCCGCAAUGGGCGAAAGCCUGACGGAGCAACGCCGCGUGAGUGAUGAAGGUCUUCGGAUCGUAAAACUCUGUUAUUAGGGAAGAACAAAUGUGUAAGUAACUAUGCACGUCUUGACGGUACCUAAUCAGAAAGCCACGGCUAACUACGUG